GACGAACGCUGGCGGCGUGCCUAAUACAUGCAAGUAGAACGCUGAAGGAGGAGCUUGCUUCUCUGGAUGAGUUGCGAACGGGUGAGUAACGCGUAGGUAACCUGCCUGGUAGCGGGGGAUAACUAUUGGAAACGAUAGCUAAUACCGCAUAACAGUAGAUAUCGCAUGAUAUCUACUUGAAAGGUGCAAUUGCAUCACUACCAGAUGGACCUGCGUUGUAUUAGCUAGUUGGUGAGGUAACGGCUCACCAAGGCGACGAUACAUAGCCGACCUGAGAGGGUGAUCGGCCACACUGGGACUGAGACACGGCCCAGACUCCUACGGGAGGCAGCAGUAGGGAAUCUUCGGCAAUGGACGGAAGUCUGACCGAGCAACGCCGCGUGAGUGAAGAAGGUUUUCGGAUCGUAAAGCUCUGUUGUAAGAGAAGAAAGAGUGGGAGAGUGGAAAGUUCACACUGUGACGGUAUCUUACCAGAAAGGGACGGCUAACUACGUG
RNAcentral lists this ribosomal RNA (495 nucleotides) under uncultured bacterium. RNAcentral's name for it is "partial 16S ribosomal RNA". It matches the Rfam family "Bacterial small subunit ribosomal RNA", at positions 28 to 507 of the family's 1533-position model. The record is from RNAcentral.